GAUGAACGCUAGCGGCAGGCCUAAUACAUGCAAGUCGAACGGUGUCUUCGGACAUAGUGGCGCACGGGUGCGUAACACGUAUGCAACCUACCUUACAUUGGGGGAUAGCCUUUCGAAAGGGAGAUUAAUACCGCAUAAGACAGUAGCUGGGCAUCCAGCAGCUGUUAAAGAUUUAUCGAUGUAAGCUGGGCAUGCGUCCAAUUAGCUAGUUGGUGAGGUAACGGCUCACCAAGGCUAUGAUUGGUAGGGGAACUGAGAGGUCAAUCCCCCACACUGGCACUGAGAUACGGGCCAGACUCCUACGGGAGGCAGCAGUAGGGAAUAUUGGGCAAUGGACGCAAGUCUGACCCAGCCAUGCCGCGUGCAGGAUGAAGGCGUUAUGCGUUGUAAACUGCUUUUAUACAGGAAGAAACGACUCUUGCGAGAGGCAUUGACGGUACUGUAUGAAUAAGCACCGGCUAACUCCGUGCCAGCAGCCGCGGUAAUACGGAGGGUGCAAGCGUUGUCCGGAUUUAUUGGGUUUAAAGGGUGCGCAGGUGGUUUAUUAAGUCAGUGGUGAAAGACGGUCGCUCAACGAUUGCAGUGCCAUUGAAACUGGUAGACUUGAGUAAAGUAGAGGUGGGCGGAAUUGAUAGUGUAGCGGUGAAAUGCAUAGAUAUUAUCAAGAACUCCAAUUGCGUAGGCAGCUCACUUGGCUUUU
This 700-nucleotide ribosomal RNA is filed under the name uncultured Arcicella sp. RNAcentral describes it as "bacterial SSU rRNA". It matches the Rfam family "Bacterial small subunit ribosomal RNA", at positions 28 to 738 of the family's 1533-position model. Lineage: Bacteria; Pseudomonadati; Bacteroidota; Cytophagia; Cytophagales; Flectobacillaceae. The record is from RNAcentral.